AGAGUGUUUUUGGGGUUCCUCAGUUGCAGUGAGAUGUGAGGCACUUGCAGAGACUCAGUCCACCACCCUGGGCAGCUUUCACCACCCUGGGCAGCUUUUCCGAGACGUAGGGACUGGCUUGCCGUAAUUCAUAGCUUCUGCUGUCCCUUGCUACAUACCUCCUGUUUGGUCACAAACUAGGAUUGCAGCAUCUGCUUGUAGGCUCAAAAUAAAGGGAUGGAGAAAAAUCGACCAAGCAAAUGGAAAACAGAAAAGAGCAACUUGCUUCCUGAAAAUUCACGGGUCUCGCUCUGUUACCCAAGCUGGAGUGCAGCGGUGUGAUCAUGGUUCACUGCAGCUUCAACUUCCUGGGCUCAAGGGACUCUUCCACCUCAGCCUCCUGAGUACCUGAGACUACAGUUCUGUGCCAUGCCUGGCUAAUCUUUUUUUUCUUUUGUAGAGACAGGAUCUUGCUACACUGACCAGGCUGGUCUUGACCUCCUGGCCUCAGGCUAUCCUCCCACCUUUGCCUCCCAAAGAAAAAUCAGUCUUUUGUUAUGUCUUCAUUUUAUUCACAUGCAUGCUUGAUUCAUGUUCUGUUGCUUCUAUUGAUUAUUAAAUCUGGUUUCAGAGUACUAGACAGACUGUCUUGCUGUGUUGCAUUCUACUGUUUUGACCACGAAAGGACAGGUUAAAUAUUGUGUUCUGUUACAAAAUGAAAUGGAAAACUAGGAUCAUUCACAAAAUAUUUGAUGUACUAUGGCUCAUUCUUUUCAUGGUUGUCUUUGUAUUUCAGAAAUGCUUCUUUACUGUUUGAAUGACCAUAUAUGGAAAAUAGACACCGUACAAACUCUUCCUCCUAGUUUCAAUUUUCUUUUUAACAAAAUGCUUCAUUCUUUUGUUGGACGUAGUAUAAGUAAUAUGCAUGCAACAGACAUCCCUGAAUUUCAACUCAUCCUAACCUUUCUGCCAAUUAAUGGAGACUUACAACUGAUGUUUUAUUCAUUUCUACAUUAUUUGACUGUUUUAUAGGAAUGUAUUAAUAAUCAGAAAAAU
Molecule: long non-coding RNA, 1035 nt
Filed under: Homo sapiens (human)
Lineage: Eukaryota; Metazoa; Chordata; Mammalia; Primates; Hominidae
Description: HSALNT0368651
Source: RNAcentral